RNAcentral lists this long non-coding RNA (4944 nucleotides) under Portunus trituberculatus (swimming crab). Its description in RNAcentral is "uncharacterized LOC123512023, transcript variant X1". The record is from RNAcentral. Lineage: Eukaryota; Metazoa; Arthropoda; Malacostraca; Decapoda; Portunidae.
UUAAACUAUCAGCUUGUUACUUUAAAGGUAACGAGGCCAGAAACUAUCGGGGUACGUUGGAACUAUCUUCUUGCUUAUUGGUCAUUUUGUUAUGCUAUCGCUUUGCUUCACAUUUCGGAUCUUCGAGGUACCGUCUCCUGCGCUGAAUUCCGGCUUCCGACCUGACGCCUGGGCGACGAGACCGAGGGAAGGCAGAUUCUCCUGAGCUCUGGCUGAGUCAACACUACCUAGACUCGCCUCUGCUUCUAGAAGUAUUCUUCUGUGAAGCUCUGCUCACCGCUCGCUUUGGGGGACCUGAGCCUGUCUCUUGGCAGCCGUGUCUAGCCAGCCUGAGUCCAGACCAGCCUUUGGAUGAACCACCAUACCACUCGGGCUUGCUGGUGGUUCUGCAUCCACCUCCUGUUUCAAUCCUGGUCAUCGCUGGAUACCGCUCUGCCUACUCGCCACUCCUACACCCUGCUCCAUUCCUCGUCCUCUUUGGGGUCCUGUACCCGUGUGCUGCCCGGGACGGCCGUGUGUGAAGUGGAUGGGCGUGGUACCAGCGCUAGAGCAACUACCUCUCUAAGCUCUGGUGUUGAAGGCCACAUCCCUGGUUUUUAGUGGAAGAAGAGAAGGCAGUGUUCAUUUCCAUCUUUGAGUUACCUGCCUCGAGUUUUCACAAGUGGAGACCUCGCCAGGAUUGUGCCUUCUUGACCCUCUGGAGUAUGUGGAGUGCUAACGGUCAUCGUUGGGGGACAGGUAGUAUUACCCUCCCUGGCUCAUUAUCCAAGGCUCGGAAGUGAGUAUUUUGACUGUUCGUUUGUGAGGGCUUGUUUCUAAUCAAUUGCGUCUUUAAAGACUCUGGUUAAAGUCCUUUUAUGUUGUCAGGUGCGGAGUUUUUUAUUGCUUCCUUGGGCGUCCUUCAUUCACGGAUUAUUUUGUUUCCUUUGUUUUCUUGGUGUUGUGUUCUCAUGUCUUCUAUCAAGGAGCUAGUUGAAUUGGGAAGAAGAGAUGGGACUCGAGAGUGACGAGCUACGUGAGUUUGUUUCUACUCGGCAAGCGUUGCAACGAGACGAACGACAAAAGGAACGAGACAGUGAGGAGAGGAAAGGAGGAAAAGCAAAGAACAUGCCCUUGCCAUGUCCGAAUUAAAGCCGAAGCUGUCACUGCAAGAACAAGGAACAAACCCGAGAUCCAGUGAUCUUGCCUGGGACUGUUCCCUGACCUUCUCUACCAGUCUAUCAAGGAGAUGAUUUGACAAUCUUACUUCACACGUUUUGAACGCAUUGCUGCCCUGCUCAACAUUCCUCAGGACAACUAUGCCAUUCGACUGGGUGGUCUUCUCUCUAGUAAGCUCGCAGAAAUCUACACUACCUUGGCUGAUGACGUAAUUUGUGACUACCCUAAACUUAAAUCCUCUCUCCUUAGAAGCUUCAGUCAGUCCGCUGAGCACUAUCGCCACAUGUUUCGUUCUGUCCGGAUCAAACCUGGUGAGACAUUCCAGCAGUUUGCCACUCAACUCGGUCGCUAUUUUGAUAACUGGACAGACUUGUGACGUGGGGGAAGAUUUUCAUAAACUCGGAUCUUUUGUAAUUAUGGACCAGUUUCUUGCCUCUAUUUCUCCAGAUGUAAGAACCUUGAAAGAAAACGACGUGCAGACCUUGGACAACGCUGUCGAACGUGCAGAUAUCUGGGCAGCUGCCCAUCGUGCUUACCUGAGACACACCCCCAGCUGGACAUAAGAAGCUGUCGCCUACUUCUCCAACUACUACCAACCAAGCUUCUCGCCGAUCUCCUCCACCGGCCAGGAAGUCUUCCACACCCGUCAGGUGUCACAAUUGUGGGGAGCCAGGACACAUUCGAGCUCAAUGUCCCCAAAAUCCAGCUUUGUUCAGGACUGGUAGCACUGCUCAACCAGACACACAUAGGUGGGUUUCUGCUUCAGUGAUCCUACUAAUCUCUAAUUUUCUUCUGACAUCAUCAAUGGAGCGAGAGUAUCUACCAUCAUACGUGACACUGGCUGUUCCUGUGUCAUUAUAUCUGAGGAAGCCUUACCUGAUGUAGACGUCUCCCAGUGUCCUAAAGUUCUUGUUUCUGACUAAUUAGGUAGAGUGGACUCCUUCCCUCAGAUACGAUGCUACCUUCGCUGUCCCUUCUACGAAGGUUAUGUUGAUUGUGUUCGUGCUCCACAACUGAUGGGUGAGCUCCAUAAGCUUCUGGGAGUAAAACCGCUCUUCACCACGCCUUAUUAUCCAAGUGGUAACGGAAGAGUGGAAAGGUUCCACUCCACUUUGAAGGCAUGCCUCCGGAAACUGUGCUCUGAAAACCGCGUGAGUGGCACCGUUAUCUCCCUGCCACCUUGUUCGCUUUGAGGGAGAUGCCAAGUGACAGGAUCGGAUUCUCGUCUUUUGAACUUCUUUACGGUAAGGCAGUUAGAGGACCUCUUGCAGUUCUACGGGGUUUGUGGGAGGAUAAAUCACUCACAGACGAUCGUUCCUGUUUUCAAUGUAAUAAAGAGCUGAAAGACGAAUUGGCUGAAUCCUCCUGGAUUGCUGCCGAGACUGCUGACAUCAGUGCUACUCGGUAUAAAGCAUAUUUUGACUUGAAGUCGCAGGAUCGAAAGUUCAAGUCUGGAGAUGAAGUCCUGGUGCUCCUGCCUGACACUACCAACAAGCUCCUGAUGGCCUGGGCUGACCCAUAUACCGUACUUGAAAAGCGAACCAGCUGUAACUACCUGAUUGAUGAAAACGGUAAGCAUAAGUUAUACCAUGCUGAUCUUCUCAAGCGUUACUUUCGUCGUGCUCUUGUUAAUCAAGUAACUGUUGGAUGAACCUUCUUCCUUUGAUACAGAGGCUGAUACCAAAUUGAGCUUCUCACCGCUUGAGGAAGGGAUUACAGAACCUCCAGGUCUCCUUCCAGUAUCGCCUGACGGCCGCGAAGAUGUACAAGCGUGUAAAGUGCAAAUUGUAUCUGAUCCCUAUACAACUAAAGUCUUAUUUUGAAGAGGUUGACCAAUUUCUCCAGCAGGAAAUCAUCCGGUCAUCUUCAUCUCCUUAUUCCCCAGUUAUGUUACAGGUUGUGCCACUUACAUCAGAUUGAGGAUCGUCUUAGCCGGACUAACUGGAGUAUCGUUCUACUUUGAUAAUAUUUCCAUCUAUGGAACAACCUGUACCGAACACAUCACUGCCCUCAAGUCCGUACUUUCGUGUCUUCGAGAACACGGCCUCACUGUUCGAUAUUGAAGUGUGGAUUCGGGUUCGGAUCCAUCCAGUAUCUGGGCUUCAUUGUGGACGGUAAGACGCUUCGUCCUCAAAAUGAUAGUCACUGCCAUUUCUUCCUGCAGUCCCCCAAGUACCAAAAAGCUACUUUGAUCCUUCUUGGGUAUGGUAUCUUUUUAUUGAGACUUUAUCCCCCAGGCUUCUUCCUACAGAAGUUGUCUGUCUGACCUUCUCCGCAAGGGUGUCACCGAACCACUAGUCUGGACUGACGAACAUCAGAGGAGCUUUCAACAUCUUAAAGCAGUUCUCCAGUCUGCGCCGAUCUUAAGGCUACCAGAUUCCACUCAUCCUUUCGUGCUACGAACGGACGCUUCCUAGCACGGGCUAGGAGCAGUCCUGCUUCAGUAUGUGGACGGCUGGCCUCACCGUUACGUACGCCAGUCUAAAACUUCGGGAUCGAGAGAGAAGAUUCUCCACCAUUGGAAAGGAGUGCCUUGCCGUCUGUUUUGGUAUCAAGAACUUUGAUUAUUACCUUAGAGGGAUAGAGUUUAUUUUAGAAGUGGAUCAUAAACCAGAUUUAAAGGUGCAAAUAAUAGGUUGCUAAGAUGGGCACUAAAGCUACAAGAUUAUAUAUUUUUCGUGUAGUAUACAUUCCUGGAGAAGAUAAUGUUGGGGCUGAUUUUCUCAAUAGGUGUUCAGUGUAGUGCUUUAGUUUGUUGUCUUCUAUUCUUUCUAAAUAUGUGUAUCAAGGCUUGUUGGGGGAGGUAUGUAAAGACAACUAGGGGUUAAACUAUCAGCUUGUUACUUUAAACGAUAGUAACGAUGCCAGAAACUAUCGGGGUACAUUGGAACUAUCUUCUUGCUUAUUGGUCAUUUUGUUAUGCUGUCUCUUUGCUUCACAUUUCGGAUCUUCGAGGUACCGUCUCCUGCGCUGAAUUCCGGCUUCCGACCUGACGCCUGGGCGACGAGACUGAGGAGGCAGAUUCUCCUGAGUUCUAGCUGAGUCAACACUACCUAGACUCGCCUCUGCCUCCAGAAGUAGUACCGUCUCCUGGGAUGAAUUCCGGCUUCCGACCUGACGCCUGGGAGACGAGACCGAGGGAAGGCAGAUUCUCCUGAGCUUUGGCUGAGUCAACACUACCUAGAUUCGCCUCUGACUCCAGAAGUGUUCUCCCGUGAAGCCCUGCUCACCGCUUGCUUUGGGGGACCUGAGCCAGUCUCCUGGCAGCUGUGUCUAGGCAGCCUCCCGUGAAGCCCUGCUCACCGCUCGCUUUGGGGGACGUGGACCAGUCUCCUGGCUACCGUGUCUAGCCAGCCUGAGUCCAGACCAGCCUUUGGAUGAACCACCAAUACCACUCGGGCUUGCUGGUGGUUCUGCAUCCACCUCCUGUUUCAAUCCUGGUCACCGCUGGUCACCGCUGGAUACCGCUCUGCCUGCUCUCCACCCCUACACCCUGCUCCAUUCCUCGCCUUCUCAUUGGGGUCCUGUACCCGUGUGCUGCCCGGGACGGCUGUGUUUGAAGUGGAUGGGCGUGGUACCAGCGCUAGAGCAACUACCUCUCUAAGGGGGGAUGUAAGUCCAUAUAGUUCGUGUGUGUUGGAGAAGGAGUGUUCUUCUUUCAUUAAAGUGGUACUUUGUUAUUGUCUGUUUUCUACAGUCUCGUCAGGUUGUCAUUCAAUGCAAAAAAUCUUCAGCAAUGGUAGGUUAUUCCAGCACACCAAAACUUAAUAAAUUGUAUGUACUGUA